ACGGGAGGCAGCAGUAGGGAAUCUUCCACAAUGGGCGCAAGCCUGAUGGAGCAACGCCGCGUGAGUGAAGAAGGUCUUCGGAUCGUAAAACUCUGUUGUUAGAGAAGAACAUGCGAGAGAGUAACUGUUCUUGUAUUGACGGUAUCUAACCAGAAAGCCACGGCUAACUACGUGCCAGCAGCCGCGGUAAUACGUAGGUGGCAAGCGUUGUCCGGAUUUAUUGGGCGUAAAGGGAACGCAGGCGGUCCUUUAAGUCUGAUGUGAAAGCCUUCGGCUUAACCGAAGAAUUGCAUUGGAAACUGGAGGACUUGAGUGCAGAAGAGGAGAGUGGAACUCCAUGUGUAGCGGUGAAAUGCGUAGAUAUAUGGAAGAACACCAGUGGCGAAAGCGGCUCUCUGGUCUGUAACUGACGCUGAGGUUCGAAAGUGUGGGUAGCAAACAGGAUUAGAUACCCUGGUA
Molecule: ribosomal RNA, 459 nt
Filed under: uncultured Lactobacillus sp.
Lineage: Bacteria; Bacillati; Bacillota; Bacilli; Lactobacillales; Lactobacillaceae
Description: partial 16S ribosomal RNA
Rfam family: Bacterial small subunit ribosomal RNA
Source: RNAcentral